This 52-nucleotide small RNA is filed under the name Arabidopsis thaliana (thale cress). Its description in RNAcentral is "ATSL170960". Lineage: Eukaryota; Viridiplantae; Streptophyta; Magnoliopsida; Brassicales; Brassicaceae. The record is from RNAcentral.
CAUCUAACAUAUCAUAAAAGCGUUGUGCAUCUACGUUGGGUUCUUCAUUAAU